RNAcentral lists this ribosomal RNA (846 nucleotides) under uncultured Chloroflexota bacterium. RNAcentral's name for it is "bacterial SSU rRNA". It matches the Rfam family "Bacterial small subunit ribosomal RNA", at positions 28 to 895 of the family's 1533-position model. Lineage: Bacteria; Bacillati; Chloroflexota. The record is from RNAcentral.
GAUAAACGCUGGCGGUGUGCCUUAUGCAUGCAAGUCGAACGGUCCUUCCCGCAAGGGAAGGAUAGUGGCGAACGGGUGAGUAACGCGUAAGUAACCUGCCCCUAAGUAAGGAAUAACUCCGAGAAAUUGGAGCUAAUACCAUAGUGAUGGUGGAGGUAGUGCUCCAUCAUUAAAGCCUUCGGGCGCUUGGGGAGGGGCUUGCGUCCGAUUAGCUAGUUGGUAGAGUAAGGGUCUACCAAGGCGACGAUCGGUAGCUGGUUUGAGAGGACGGCCAGCCACACUGGGACUGAGACACGGCCCAGACUCCUACGGGAGGCAGCAGCAAGGAAUUUUGGGCAAUGGGCGAAAGCCUGACCCAGCGACACCGCGUGGGGGAUGAAGGUCUUCGGGUUGUAAACCCCUUUUCUCAGGGAAGAAUAAUGACGGUACCUGAGGAAUAAGCCUCGGCUAACUACGUGCCAGCAGCCGCGGUAAUACGUAGGAGGCGAGCGUUAUCCGGAUUUACUGGGCGUAAAGAGGGCGUAGGUGGCUCUUCAAGUCGGAUGUAAAAUCUCCCGGCUCAACUGGGAGGGAUCAUUCGAUACUGUUAGGCUAGAGGACAGCAGAGGGAGGUGGAAUUCCCGGUGUAGUGGUGAAAUGCGUAGAUAUCGGGAGGAACACCAGUGGCGAAGGCGGCCUCCUGGGCUGUUUCUGACACUGAGGCCCAAAAGCGUGGGGAGCGAACAGGAUUAGAUACCCUGGUAGUCCACGCUGUAAACGAUGGACACUAGGUAUGGGGAGUAUCGACCCUCUCCGUGCCGAAGCUAACGCUCUAAGUGUCCCGCCUGGGGACACGGCCGCAAGGCU